UUUAUGGAGAGUUUGAUCCUGGCUCAGGACGAACGCUGGCGGCGUGCUUAACACAUGCAAGUCGAACGGUGAUGUCAGAGCUUGCUCUGGCGGAUCAGUGGCGAACGGGUGAGUAACACGUGAGUAACCUGCCCCCGACUCUGGGAUAACUGCUAGAAAUGGUAGCUAAUACCGGAUAUGACGAUUGGCCGCAUGGUCUGGUCGUGGAAAGAAUUUCGGUUGGGGAUGGACUCGCGGCCUAUCAGGUUGUUGGUGAGGUAAUGGCUCACCAAGCCUACGACGGGUAGCCGGCCUGAGAGGGUGACCGGCCACACUGGGACUGAGACACGGCCCAGACUCCUACGGGAGGCAGCAGUGGGGAAUAUUGCACAAUGGGCGCAAGCCUGAUGCAGCAACGCCGCGUGAGGGAUGACGGCCUUCGGGUUGUAAACCUCUUUUAGUAGGGAAGAAGCGAAAGUGACGGUACCUGCAGAAAAAGCACCGGCUAACUACGUGCCAGCAGCCGCGGUAAUACGUAGGGUGCAAGCGUUGUCCGGAAUUAUUGGGCGUAAAGAGCUCGUAGGCGGUUUGUCGCGUCUGCUGUGAAAUCCCGAGGCUCAACCUCGGGUCUGCAGUGGGUACGGGCAGACUAGAGUGCGGUAGGGGAGAUUGGAAUUCCUGGUGUAGCGGUGGAAUGCGCAGAUAUCAGGAGGAACACCGAUGGCGAAGGCAGAUCUCUGGGCCGUAACUGACGCUGAGGAGCGAAAGCAUGGGGAGCGAACAGGAUUAGAUACCCUGGUAGUCCAUGCCGUAAACGUUGGGAACUAGAUGUGGGGACCAUUCCACGGUCUCCGUGUCGCAGCUAACGCAUUAAGUUCCCCGCCUGGGGAGUACGGCCGCAAGGCUAAAACUCAAAGGAAUUGACGGGGGCCCGCACAAGCGGCGGAGCAUGCGGAUUAAUUCGAUGCAACGCGAAGAACCUUACCAAGGCUUGACAUAUACCGGAAACAUGCAGAGAUGUGUGCCCCGCAAGGUCGGUAUACAGGUGGUGCAUGGUUGUCGUCAGCUCGUGUCGUGAGAUGUUGGGUUAAGUCCCGCAACGAGCGCAACCCUCGUUCUAUGUUGCCAGCACGUAAUGGUGGGAACUCAUAGGAGACUGCCGGGGUCAACUCGGAGGAAGGUGGGGAUGACGUCAAAUCAUCAUGCCCCUUAUGUCUUGGGCUUCACGCAUGCUACAAUGGCCGGUACAAAGGGCUGCGAUACCGUAAGGUGGAGCGAAUCCCAAAAAGCCGGUCUCAGUUCGGAUUGAGGUCUGCAACUCGACCUCAUGAAGUCGGAGUCGCUAGUAAUCGCAGAUCAGCAACGCUGCGGUGAAUACGUUCCCGGGCCUUGUACACACCGCCCGUCAAGUCAUGAAAGUCGGUAACACCCGAAGCCAGUGGCCUAACCGCAAGGGAGGAGCUGUCGAAGGUGGGAUCGGUGAUUAGGACUAAGUCGUAACAAGGUAGCCGUACCGGAAGGUGCGGCUGGAUCACCUCCUUUCUAAGGA
This 1528-nucleotide ribosomal RNA is filed under the name Clavibacter michiganensis subsp. insidiosus. RNAcentral describes it as "bacterial SSU rRNA". It matches the Rfam family "Bacterial small subunit ribosomal RNA". Lineage: Bacteria; Bacillati; Actinomycetota; Actinomycetes; Micrococcales; Microbacteriaceae. The record is from RNAcentral.